This is a long non-coding RNA of Sipha flava (yellow sugarcane aphid), 320 nucleotides long. RefSeq lists it as uncharacterized. The record is from RefSeq and is a predicted model, not a curated record. The transcript has 2 exons. Lineage: Eukaryota; Metazoa; Arthropoda; Insecta; Hemiptera; Aphididae.
UUUGAUUUUCAGUGUUUAUUCAUCUUAUGAUUAACUAGUACUUUUUUUUUUUCAUAAUUUAAGAUCUGCGCAAAUGGCUCGCAAAUAUAGAAAGAAGAUUGGUGGUCGGUCUUAUAAAAAUUACUCAGAUGACAUUUUAGAGGAAGCACUAAAUAAAAUUGCCAAUGGUGAGAUUUCAAUAUUAGCUGCCAGCAAGGCAUAUAAAAUUUCCUAUGGAACAUUGCACAAUAAAUUCAAUGGCAAACAUGUUAAGAAGUGUGGUCAUCCAACGAUUUUAUUUAUAUUUAUUAUAUAUAUAUUAUAUUUUAUUGUUAUUGUUA